RNAcentral lists this ribosomal RNA (327 nucleotides) under Elpidia kurilensis. RNAcentral describes it as "partial 16S ribosomal RNA". It matches the Rfam family "Archaeal large subunit ribosomal RNA", at positions 2038 to 2579 of the family's 2987-position model. The record is from RNAcentral. Lineage: Eukaryota; Metazoa; Echinodermata; Holothuroidea; Elasipodida; Elpidiidae.
AUAAUAAUUUGUUUUUUAAAUAAAAACUAGUAUGAAUGGCUUUUCAUUUUCUAACUGUCUCUCUUUAUUCUCUUUUAAAUUUCUAUUUCUGUGAAGAAGCAGAAAUAUAUUAGUAAGACGAGAAGACCCUAUCGAGCUUUAGUUAAUAAAUUAAUUACUAUUUUUUAAUUUUAAACUUUGGUUGGGGCAACCAUGGAGUACAAUAAACCUCCAGCUCUAAAAGAAGAUUAUAAAUCUCUUUUUUUAUAUUGAACCACUAUUUGUGGAAAACAGAAAUAGUUACCGUAGGGAUAACAGCGUAAUCUUCUUUGAGAGCCCUUAUUGACA